Molecule: ribosomal RNA, 383 nt
Filed under: uncultured fungus
Lineage: Eukaryota; Fungi
Description: partial small subunit ribosomal RNA
Rfam family: Eukaryotic small subunit ribosomal RNA
Source: RNAcentral
GCUUGUCUCAAAGAUUAAGCCAUGCAUGUCUCAGCAUAAGCUUCAACACGGUGAAACUGCAAAUGGCUCAUUAAAGCAGUUACAAUUUAUUUGAUGGUCACUGUUACAUGGAUAACUGUGGUAAUUCUAGAGCUAAUACAUGCAUCAAAACCUGACUCUUGGGAAGGGUUGUGUUUAUUAGAUACAAAACCAAUGCAAGCUACGCUUGACCUUUUGGUGAUUCAUGGUAACCGAACGAAUCGCACGGCACCAGCUGGCGGACCUAUCAGCUUCCGACGGUAGGAUAUGGGCCUACCGUGGCAAUGACGGGUAACGGAGAAUUAGGGUUCGAUUCCGGAGAGGGAGCCUGAGAAACGGCUACCACAUCUAAGGAAGGCAGCAGG